Long non-coding RNA from Orcinus orca (killer whale), 4948 nucleotides. RefSeq lists it as uncharacterized. The record is from RefSeq and is a predicted model, not a curated record. The transcript has 3 exons. NCBI's taxonomy places the organism in Eukaryota, Metazoa, Chordata, Mammalia, Artiodactyla, Delphinidae.
CCGGGCUCGGGGGAAUCACCCCGUGACUUGUGACACGUGCGUUUGCCGGAGGCGGCGCUUCGGAACGGCGGCCCCUGCUUCCCUCCUGCAAGUCCGGCCGCUCGCGGUGAUUCGCGGGGACUCCUCCCCUCCGGCACCGCGGGGCGCGCCCGACCCCUGACCACUGACCCCCGAACCCCGCAGGCCCUCGCCCGCAGACCGCACGGCCCAAGGCCCAGCGCUGAGCAAGGGGUCCUUCCAGAGUCAGUUUUCCGACUGUGGCGUCUUCAGAGACCGGGCCGUCCCUCCCCACGUGCUUUGCUGGCCGGAGGUUAUUACAAGAUAUUGAAUAUAGUUCUCGGUGCUAUACGAAAGGACAUCCCUGGUGGAGAUGGCAGCUCGGGAGGGUGCAACAGCCUGGGGCCAAGAGAACUAAGAUCCAGCAGAAUGCAGAGUGAGCCUCAGGCUGGACAUGUGGAUUCCCUCCGGAGAAAAACCCUGAGUCUCCUGGAGAUGAAAUUCCCUCUUGUGCAUCAAAUAUGAAAAUCAGUACAGUCUUCGUGGAGGACAGAUUAGAUAUAUGUACCCAAAGUCUUGAAAUGUUUGUUCCCAGUAAUUUCCUUCCUAGGAAUGUAUUCCAAGGUCAUAAUUAGAGACGUGCUAAAGGACUUGUGUGGAAUGACCUGCCCCCAGGGUUAUUUAUAUGAGAGUGAGUGGAACCGUCUUGAGUGCCCGCACUAGAUGGCUGUUCAAGCAGAUUAAAUCCAGAUGAUGGUGAAAAACUUUAAAAAUUAAGUACAUGGGAAAUUCUUCUCACCGUAUAGAGUUAAUUGGAAAGGGCAGAUUACAAAACAAGGAAACGAGAUGAUCUCCAUUUGGGGUACGUGUAUGAUUGUGUGUGUGAGAGAGUGUGCGUCCCCAGGCCGUAUCUAACCAGGAAAAGGCGGUAUAACACGACUCACAGAAAUGGUAACAACGCGCUACAGUUUGGAUCUAGCCGCCGUGUUUAGUUGCUGGGAUGGAAGGCCAUUUAGAGCCGUGCUCAGGGGUCCCAGGGCUAGACUCAAGCUCGCUGGGAUCUGGCUGGACCCCUGUCCACCUGUGUGGCUUUGAGCGGCUUCUUCAUCCCUCUGGUGAGUUUAUGUGCUUGUUGGCUUGAUGGCCUGUCAUCCGUCAUCAACCCCAUCCCAAGGACUGUGUUUAAACACCGAAGAGCAGGCUCCUGGCCAGAGGAUCGUAUGUCUGUGGGGUAGGGGUGGAGGUGGGGUGUGGAGAACAAGCAGUAGGCUGGGGGCUUUGAGAGAGUGAGAGGAAAGAGGUUUUAAGACAACUUUUCUCUCUUUUAUGAGCGUAACUGCCCUUUGGUUCCUUGGAAAACAAAUUUAGGAAGGAUCUGCAGUAUUUCUCAAGGCUAUUUUUGGAGUUGAACUUGGAUCUGAUUUUGGUUUCUUCUCCAUGGGAACAGGGUGAGAUGGGCCGUGAGGUUGCCCAUCUUUACUCGGUUUCAUAAAUGUGCUACAGGGAGCGAGGACACCAGAGUGAUGGCAGCUUCAAGCAUAGUUUGCAUAUGGCCCUCAAAAGCAUCCCUCCUGGCUAACGCCCCCCAGCCACAGUCCCUGGGCUGUGGUGGCUACCGAGGAGCUCCUUCCCUCCAGUGGGCCGUCUUCCCAACAGACACGCUCGCAGGAGGCCGGGCAGGUCGCUCCCCGACUGUUUUCUGAGUGGGGGCGGAGACAGGCAGGGGUGCCUGCAGGUCAGUGCAGCCCAUCAUCGUGAUGGCAGCUCCAUCCCAGCGCCUGCCCAGGCUGCCCAAGGUCACACCAGGAGCCUACUCAGCCUCUCACCCUAGCACCUUCUCCUUACGAGAAACAGUCCACAUUAAGAAGGAAAAAACUGGUAGCACAGAGGCGACGGCACCGAACUGCCUGCGAUCGAAUCGAAUCCCAGCUCUGCACAGUGAACACGGGCCUGUUUCCUCACCUGUGAAGGGGUGGCCAUAGGUGCUUUGGGGCGUCGCUGUAGAAAGCCCCUGGCACUGUGCCCAGCACAGCAUAAACCCUCUUUCACUUGGCCGUGGUGAUGCACUUUCACGAAGGAUCUGGGGCCUGGUGGCUGCGGAAUGCACUUGCCUGGGUAUCCAUUUCUGUCUCUCAGUGUGGUCCCAGCCCCACUGCGCAGAGGGCGGGAGGUGUGUAAAGGGACAAGAAUCAUGAUAAUUCAAGUGGCGACAUUUGGGGAUUCUCUCCCACUCCUGGGGUCCAUCCCAUUCGGUGCAGGCGGAGGUGUUAGUCAGCUGUAGCGAAGGACCACAGGUGGGGCCGCUUAAACGACAGAAAUUUAUUUUCUCACGGUUCUGGAGACUGGAAAUCCAAGAUCAAGGUGUCAUCGGGGUGGGUUUCUUGUGAGGCCUCCCUCCUUGGCUCGUAGACGGCCGUCUUGCCCUGUAUCUUCACAUGGUCAUCCCUCUGUGCAUCUGUGUCCUAAUCUCCUCUUCUUAUGAGGACACCAGUCAUAUGGGAUAUGGGAUUAGGGCCUACCCCAGUGACCUCUUUUCACCUUAUUACCUCUUUAAAGACCUCAUCUCCGGGGACUUCCCUGGUGGCGCAGUGGUUAAGAAUCCGCCUGCCAAUGCAGGGGUCACAGGUUCGAGCCCUGGUCUGGGGAGAUCCCACAUGCCGUGGAGAAACUAAGCCCACGCGCCACAACUACUGAGCCUGCGCUCUAGAGCCCAUGUGCCACAACUACUGAGACUGUGUGCCGCAACUGCUGAAGCCCACGCGCCUAGAGCCCAUGCUCCGCAACAAGAGAAGCCACCGCAAUGAGAAGCCCAUGCACCGCAAUGAAGAGUAGCUCCCGCUUGCCGCAACUAGAGAAAGCCCGCACACAGCAACGAAGACCCAAUGCAGCCAAAAAUAAAUAAAUAAAUUUAUCUAAAAAAAAAAGAAAAAGGUCCUAUCUCCGGGACUUCCCUGGUGGCACAGUAGUUAAGACUCUGUGCUCCCAAUGCAGGGGGCCCAGGUUCGAUCCCUAGUCAGGGAACUAGAUCCCACAUGCCACAACUAAGGAGCCCACCUCCCGCAACUGAGACCCGGCACAACGAAAUAAAUAAAUAAUAAAUAAAUAAAGACCCUAUCUCCAAAUAUAGUCACAUUCUGAAAAACUGGGAGUUAGGACUUCAACACAUGAGCUGGGGGUGAGGGGGACACAACUCAGCCCUAACAAGGGCCCACCUUCCCCAGCCGUGGAACUGCCACUCAGGAGACGGUCAGCUUUUCCAUUUGGCCUGCAGCAGCCAAUUUAAGCUGCAACGGAACUAAAGGGCUGUAAUUCACCCUGAAAAUUAGCAGAAAACAGCAUUGUAGCAAGGUGAUUGCUAUAGAAAUAUCACAAGAUCAAAUAAAAAACCUGCUUUAAGAUGCAUUACACAUUCUUUCUGGGAGGGAGCAAGGCUGCAGGGGCAGGGGAAGAUCUCGGUGGUGAUUCCUAAGAGGUUCCCAGAGACGGUGCAUUCGAGGGCAUUGGCAGUCUGGCAACAUAGACUUUUCAUCUUGUCUCAUUUUUUGAAAAAUGGACAGUUCUCCUCUUGCCUGGUGCCGGUGUUUCUGCACAAUAAUUUUUCUUCCUUUUCUUUUUUGGGCCCAGAAAUGGAACAAAGAAAUGAAGGGCUAAGGAGAGAGGAAGAAAAAGUACAGAUGUUUUUCUUGAGUUAACCAGGUCAACCAUCAGGAGAGCAGGGAAAAGAGGAAGACUGUUAGAGAAUGUUAAAGAGACGCCUGCAGAAUCAGCCUGCUGUGAGCUGUGGGGAAGGAGGGCGGGUGAGGGCAGCCUGGGCCUGCUUCCCGAGGGUGAGGGUGAGAGAUGCCAGCCAGCCACCUACAGCAGGCCAGGCCGGGGAGAAGCACAGCGGUGAAUGAAGGAUGCUCUCGACUUAUCUCUGCUCUCCUAGCCUCCAUCAGACUGGGAAGUUAGGCCCAUUUUGCAGAUAAGGAGACUGAGGCACAGAAAGGUGACAACACAUGCCCAGCUAUCCCUGACCGUGGGUGCUGGAGCCAAGAUUUGAAGCCGGAGCCCUCUGGCCCCCAGACCCCCGGUUCUCUCACCUGUGCCACCUCCCUUGGUUCAGGAGAGUGGAGAACAGUCAGGAACUGAGGGUUCCAAGAGGGCGACAGGGAGAGGUGGGUCACAACUGGGUGUUUGCAACUCCAGGUGGCACGAGUACAAGUGGGCCCCCCUCUGCAGGACUCGUGCCCCUUCCUCCCCAAGCCCUCCUGGCCCUCCUCUGUCCCCACACAGCAGCCUCACGACUGAUCCUUCGGGAAACCGUAGGACGGAGACCCACUUGGGGAGGCCCCAUCCAUCCGCUGCAGCCCCACGAGGUGCUCUGGCUCUCCGCGGGCCCACCAGGUUGGAGGAAGCCUCCGCGUCUUGCCUGGGGGAAGAAACUGGGAGGCCUCUUGGUCCUUCCACCGCACCUCUCCCCAGAGCUUAUGGAAAGGAGAGUGGUGUUAAUAAGUCUUCCUGCCUCUCAGCCUCCUGUGCCCCGAGGAAGGAUGACAGCUUGACCCCCAACCAGAACAAGCUGUGCUUAAACUUUGGGGACAUAAGGUGGCGUGUCUGAGGGAGGAAUGUUUGUGUAGCCCAGGAGUAGGGCUCAGUCCCCUGUCCCAGGAGGAAGGGGCCAAGCAGGGCGCCACAGACACGCCCCCCCGGGCCUCCCGCUGCCUUGUUCAGCCUGCACCUCCUAAUAGGCCCCAGCCCCCAGCCCAAACCCAAGGUUGCCGACGGGAACAUUCAUUUCCAUCACCGUUCUUUCUUCUCAAUCCCCAAUUUUCAAUUAAAAAAAUUUUUUUUCCAAAACUGGUACCAAUAUAACAGUGAUUUUCUGUUGAUGGGUUUGGAUGAGGGACUUUCUUAGUUCAUAGUUUCCUUCCUUGUGAUUUUAAAAAGAUAACUGCUUUCUAGCUUUCAA